AUGUUAUUCUUUAAGGCGAAUCAGGACCAAACCUCGAGAAUUAAGAAUGUACUAACGAGGUAUGAAAAGGCUACGGGUCAACUGUUAAGUCCUAGUAAAUGCUCUAUCAUGCUUGGCAAAUCCUGUAGUCAGGAGGAAGGAAAGAGAGUGGCACAGAUCUUGGGUGUUCGGAAAAUUGAUUUUGAAGAAAAGUAUCUAGGACUGCCGGUCCCUGAAGGAAGGAUGAAGAAUGGUAAAUUUCAGCCCAUUAAAGAGCAUUCAUUGAAGAGAUGUACGGAUUGGUGUGAGAGAUAUUUAUCCAGUGCGGCUAAGGAGAGCCUCAUAAAAUCGGCUAAGGAGUACCUAUGCCAUGAGUGUGUUCAAAUUUUCUGCAGGCCUGUGUGA
This 384-nucleotide ribosomal RNA is filed under the name Triticum aestivum (bread wheat). RNAcentral describes it as "partial small subunit ribosomal RNA". The record is from RNAcentral. Lineage: Eukaryota; Viridiplantae; Streptophyta; Magnoliopsida; Poales; Poaceae.